Molecule: ribosomal RNA, 253 nt
Filed under: uncultured bacterium
Lineage: Bacteria
Description: partial 16S ribosomal RNA
Rfam family: Bacterial small subunit ribosomal RNA
Source: RNAcentral
UACGUAGGGUGCAAGCGUUGUCCGGAAUUAUUGGGCGUAAAGAGCUCGUAGGCGGUCUGUCGCGUCUGCUGUGAAAACUCAGGGCUUAACCCUGAGCUUGCAGUGGGUACGGGCAGACUAGAGUGCGGUAGGGGAGACUGGAAUUCCUGGUGUAGCGGUGAAAUGCGCAGAUAUCAGGAGGAACACCGGUGGCGAAGGCGGGUCUCUGGGCCGUAACUGACGCUGAGGAGCUAAAGCAUGGGGAGCUAACAGG